AUCGGUAAGAGCACAGCUGCUCGAAUUCUCUAAGGUGGGUGUACGGAUCUUCAUCUACUCGCCCAGAGAAGGGUUGGUCCUGAAUCAUGGCUAUUUGAUCAGGGCCGAGGUCAUAGCCAUCUGUAAGAAUUGGAUGUGAUGAUGGUGGUGGCUCUAAUAACUCAUCCUUCGGAGCAAAAAGUUUAUAGAUAGGAGUGGAAUCCAUGUGGUAUGGUGAAAAUGGUAAGGUGAGUGUGGUAAAAAAAGAAAA
This 250-nucleotide long non-coding RNA is filed under the name Sorghum bicolor (sorghum). RNAcentral describes it as "long non-coding RNA (SBIC_LNC016209)". Lineage: Eukaryota; Viridiplantae; Streptophyta; Magnoliopsida; Poales; Poaceae. The record is from RNAcentral.